This 226-nucleotide ribosomal RNA is filed under the name Entamoeba sp. RNAcentral's name for it is "partial small subunit ribosomal RNA". It matches the Rfam family "Eukaryotic small subunit ribosomal RNA", at positions 1027 to 1208 of the family's 1831-position model. Lineage: Eukaryota; Evosea; Mastigamoebida; Endamoebidae. The record is from RNAcentral.
UAACUAUAAACGAUGUCAACGAAGGAUUGGAUAAAUUUGAAGACUGAUAAGUUCCAUCAGCAUUGCUGGAGGGAGUUAGAAGUCGAAUACACCUUAUUCAGAACUUGAAGAGAAAUCUUGAGUGAAUGGACUUCAGGGGGAGUAUGGUCACAAGGCUGAAACUUAAAGGAAUUGACGGAAGGGCACACAAGGAGUGGAGCCUGCGGCUUAAUUUGACUCAACACGG